Molecule: long non-coding RNA, 1117 nt
Filed under: Physcomitrium patens
Lineage: Eukaryota; Viridiplantae; Streptophyta; Bryopsida; Funariales; Funariaceae
Description: long non-coding RNA (PPAT_LNC010530)
Source: RNAcentral
AGUAAUUAGCACCAAUGCAUAUGUACUCAGAGACAAAUAUUCAAAUAAAAAAUUUACUUGUAUAUGCUGAUUAAUAUUGUAAUACAUGUAGUUUCUAUUUACAAGUAUCAUUGGAAUACUUUACAACAUAACUUGUUUGAUUGGACUUAAUAAUAGAUACUUUAUAAUAGUUACUAAUUGCAUCAUGACAAAUAGCUUCUUUAGUUUAUUAAUACUACUAAAAAUAAUAUCCAAAAUAAGAAGAUUGGCUAUUUUGAAGUAUGAUUCUUACUUGAAAAAUGCUUGAGCAAAUAAACUUGUAAGAAAUCUAGAACUUGACAACCAUGCACAAUAUUCAAGAACAUGCUAGUUUUUUUAAAAAAUAAAAUAAAAAGGACCUUAAGGCUUCUUGCAAGGUUUUUAAUCUCCUUCCACUCUCUCAAAUCAAAGUUUGUCAACUACCUUGUAUCAAAAGGAUUGGCUUAAUAAAAAAUUAAAGAUAUACCAUUGCUUAUUACUUGACAAUAAAUGGAUAUUUCACUUUUUGAUUUUCUAAUUCCAAAGGUUACUAGACAACUCCAUUGCAUGAAUCACAAAUGAUAGGAUGUUUAGUUGCAAGUCUAGUUAUGUCUUUGAAUUGUCUCCAAAGCCACUUGUUCAUUGUUUUUUAUUAUCUAAAAAGAGCUUUAAUAAGAUAUUAAAAUGAAUUUUUUAAUUGAUUGAGGACCAAUUUAUCAAUCACCAUCUUAGAAGAUGUAGAAAAGAAGAAAUUCAAAAUAAAAUCAAAUAAAAAAAAACUAUGCUUUGGAUUGACAUUACUGCAAGUGGUGAAAUUGCCAACUAGUCUAGUAAUAUUAUAAUUGAUCUAUUACAAUUACCAAUGAUCAAAAUAAUUAGAGUAUAAUUUGAAUACACCUCUAAACUCCCAUGCAUUUGAAUACACCUCUAAACUCCCAUGCAUUUGAAUACACCUCUAAACUCCCAUGCAUUUGCACAGAAAUUAACAAACUAAUAACAAUCAACACCACUCUACUCAUAGAAAUCACAUUGCUCAAUCACAAAUGAGUCAAAAGAGUAUGCAAAUCUGAUCCGUCAAUACCCAAAUUCAGAUCCUCUCUCAAAUUUACCAAUGAACACC